This 621-nucleotide long non-coding RNA is filed under the name Marmota monax (woodchuck). Lineage: Eukaryota; Metazoa; Chordata; Mammalia; Rodentia; Sciuridae. The record is from RNAcentral.
AUGCCACNAACCAGUGCCUGUGGUGAUUUAAUGUCUUGUCAAAUGCUUUUAUUGAUUGGUUUGUAUGUCAUUCUUGUUAUAGAAGAAUAUGCCUUUUUUAAAAGCUUAUUAACACUUUUCCCAAUUUAUAUUUAAAAAAGCUAAAGAACACUGGAUUAAUUGGGGAGGGGUAGAAUAAAAUAAUUGAUUACUAUUGCUGCAUACCCAGGGUGGGGUGGGGUGGUUGGAGAACCAGAAGUGUUUUUAAAACAUUAGGUUUCAAUAUAAAUACAACUCACAACUGUUAGCUUUGGGAGGGGGUUGGGUGGGGGAGUUGUGUGGGUUUUGUUUUGUUUAAUUUAUUGAUUAGUCUUUAAAGCUGUUUGUUAUUUUGUUUUUUUUGUUUUUGUUUUUUGAGAUUACUGGACCAUCAUUAAUGUGUACUGUGAAGAGAUUAAUAUGUAUCAAGGGCUUUACCAAAGUCCACUAAAUAAACACUACUCAAGUACAGACUGCAAACCAAAAUGUAUCUGUGUUAUGAUAUUAAUUGCAAAUAGCGAGCAUGGUGCUAAAGUCUACACCAGUGGAAUUAGAUGAGUGCUAUGCACUUAAUUUUAAAAUAAAACUAGUUUUCAUUAAAAU